RNAcentral lists this transfer RNA (66 nucleotides) under marine eukaryotic metagenome. It matches the Rfam family "tRNA", at positions 5 to 66 of the family's 71-position model. From Rfam's summary of the family: Transfer RNA (tRNA) molecules are approximately 80 nucleotides in length. Their secondary structure includes four short double-helical elements and three loops (D, anti-codon, and T loops). The record is from RNAcentral.
CCGUAGCUCAGUCGGAUAGAGCACCAGAUUCCUAAUCUGGGGGUCGUGGGUUCGAAUCCCGCCGGG